ACAGCAGUAGCCGCGGGAAUACGGAGGGUGCAAGCGUUAAUCGGAAUUACUGGGCGUAAAGCGCACGCAGGCGGUUUGUUAAGUCAGAUGUGAAAUCCCCGGGCUCAACCUGGGAACUGCAUUGGUGACUGCAACGCUGGAGUGCGGCAGAGGGGGAUGGAAUUCCGCGUGUAGAGGUGAAAUUCGUAGAUAUUCGGUAGAACACCAGUGGCGAAGGCGACUGACUGGACAAGUAUUGACGCUGAGGUGCGAAAGCGUGGGGAGCAAACAGGAUUAGAGACCCCGGUAGUCCCUGUCUCUUAUAC
Molecule: ribosomal RNA, 305 nt
Filed under: uncultured bacterium
Lineage: Bacteria
Description: partial 16S ribosomal RNA
Rfam family: Bacterial small subunit ribosomal RNA
Source: RNAcentral